GAAAGAUGACAAAGACUCGCCCAAGAAGAACAAGGGCAAGGAGCGCCGGGACCUGGAUGACCUCAAGAAGGAGGUGGCUAUGACAGAGCACAAGAUGUCAGUGGAAGAGGUCUGCCGGAAAUACAACACAGACUGUGUGCAGGUGUGGCCGGGCUGCGGGCUGGGACCCUGGGAACUAGGGAGGAGGAGCUGGGGGCUAGGACCCCUGGGUCUGAGGGAGGAGGGGCUGGGGACCUGGACUCCUGGGCCUGAGGGAGGAGGGGCUGUGGCUGGUGUCUUAAGUUCUGGGGGU
RNAcentral lists this small RNA (292 nucleotides) under Pan troglodytes (chimpanzee). Its description in RNAcentral is "retained intron". Lineage: Eukaryota; Metazoa; Chordata; Mammalia; Primates; Hominidae. The record is from RNAcentral.